UAAACCGGGAUUAGAUACCCCGCUAUACGGGGGAGUCCCCCAAGGGGGGUAGUAUCGGCUACGGCCCCCAAACCCAAAGAACUUGGCGGCAACCCAUCCUGCUAGAGGAGCCUGCCCCGUAACCGACACCACCCGUUAGCUCCGGCCCCCAGCAUGUCUGUAUACCGCCGUCUAACCCCUAGCUACGAAGGUGGGGUGCCAAGGUCGCCACCGAAGACAGGUCGAGGUGCAGCGGAUCUGGGGGAGGCGGUGGGCUACAAUCCCCGUGGGGCGGACCCCCCCCCACGGGGGGGGGGCAAGAUGGAUUUAUUAUUACCUGGGGGUCAACACCCCCCGGGGAAAUGGGCCUGGGUCGUGUACAUAUCGCCCGUCACUCUCGGUAAACCUGAGAU
RNAcentral lists this ribosomal RNA (392 nucleotides) under Excirolana mayana. Its description in RNAcentral is "partial 12S ribosomal RNA". It matches the Rfam family "Bacterial small subunit ribosomal RNA", at positions 768 to 1418 of the family's 1533-position model. The record is from RNAcentral. Lineage: Eukaryota; Metazoa; Arthropoda; Malacostraca; Isopoda; Cirolanidae.